RNAcentral lists this ribosomal RNA (452 nucleotides) under uncultured bacterium. RNAcentral describes it as "bacterial SSU rRNA". It matches the Rfam family "Bacterial small subunit ribosomal RNA", at positions 10 to 507 of the family's 1533-position model. The record is from RNAcentral.
AGUUUGAUCCUGGCUACAGAACGAACGCUGGCGGCAUGCCUAACACAUGCAAGUCGAACGAGACCUUCGGGUCUAGUGGCGCACGGGUGCGUAACGCGUGGGAAUCUGCCCUGGGGUGCGGAAUAACUCGGAGAAAUCCGUGCUAAUACCGCAUAAUGUCUUCGGACCAAAGAUUUAUCGCCCUGGGAUGAGCCCGCGUAGGAUUAGCUAGUUGGUGGGGUAAAGGCCUACCAAGGCGACGAUCCUUAGCUGGUCUGAGAGGAUGAUCAGCCACACUGGGACUGAGACACGGCCCAGACUCCUACGGGAGGCAGCAGUGGGGAAUAUUGGACAAUGGGCGAAAGCCUGAUCCAGCAAUGCCGCGUGAGUGAUGAAGGCCCUAGGGUUGUAAAGCUCUUUUACCCGGGAUGAUAAUGACAGUACCGGGAGAAUAAGCUCCGGCUAACUCCGUG